GGAUUGUAAACUCCUGUUGUUGGGGAAGAUAAUGACGGUACCCAACAAGGAAGUGACGGCUAACUACGUGCCAGCAGCCGCGGUAAGACGUAGGUCACAAGCGUUGUCCGGAAUUACUGGGUGUAAAGGGAGCGCAGGCGGGAAGACAAGUUGGAAGUGAAAUCUAUGGGCUCAACCCAUAAACUGCUUUCAAAACUGUUUUUCUUGAGUAGUGCAGAGGUAGGCGGAAUUCCCGGUGUAGCGGUGGAAUGCGUAGAUAUCGGGAGGAACACCAGUGGCGAAGGCGGCCUACUGGGCACCAACUGACGCUGAGGCUCGAAAGUGUGGGUAGCAAACAGGAUUAGAUACCCUGGUAGUCCACACCGUAAACGAUGAUUACUAGGUGUUGGAGGAUUGACCCCUUCAGUGCCGCAGUUAACACAAUAAGUAAUCCACCUGGGGAGUA
This 445-nucleotide ribosomal RNA is filed under the name uncultured bacterium. RNAcentral describes it as "bacterial SSU rRNA". It matches the Rfam family "Bacterial small subunit ribosomal RNA", at positions 420 to 882 of the family's 1533-position model. The record is from RNAcentral.